This 771-nucleotide long non-coding RNA is filed under the name Helianthus annuus (common sunflower). RNAcentral's name for it is "sRNA HanXRQr2_Chr09g0403971". The record is from RNAcentral. Lineage: Eukaryota; Viridiplantae; Streptophyta; Magnoliopsida; Asterales; Asteraceae.
AUGAAUGAGGGAUUCAGGGCGGAACGCAGACGUUGUGAAGCUCUUCCUCGGAUGUCAUACUGAACCAUCAAGCAAAUUGAGCGAAAUGGAUCAAUCUCAAGUCAACCUAACCUAACAAGUUCGUGGAUUGACUUAAAUGGAUCCGUGUUGUUUUAUAGACAUCUAUAUGUUGUUUUUGGUGUACAUUGGUAGUUCUAUAGUAGUAAUAUACAAAAGCAAAACUAAAAAAGUUUUUAGGUUAACUGGUCGUUUUCGCUUGACCCUCUAAAUACGCUAUUUGUGGUUUGGUUUGUGUGUCCGUCAUGUUUUGGGUGGGUCGUUGUCGUUUGAACCUCUAAAUACGCUAUCUGUGGUUUGGUUUGUAUGCCUGUCACGUUUUGGGUUUGUCGUGUCUAAUUGGGUUCAAUCAGCCAACCCAUGAGCACAACCCAUUGAAUAUUGUCGUUUGCGUGUGUUUGUCCUCUCAAAGUCUCAAAUCUCACUCCAUUUUCAUACUGGGGUUAGUCGUUUUCGUUGUUGUUUGAACCUCUAAAUACGCUAUUUGUGGUUUGUAAGUUUUGUUUCGUGGUGUUUCAUAAGUUUAUAAAGGGUUAUGUACUUAUGUUGAUUAUUGAAUCAAGUCAAAUAACUUAUAAAUUAUAUUAAAAAAUGGUAUCUCCGAGGAUCCCCCACUGCAAUGUAUAUUCUCUUUCCAGCUGUGUGUAAUUGAAAUUGAGUAUUUAAAUUUGUAGAGUUGUAUUAUUAUGUUUUCAAUAAUUGAAUGUAUAAAAC